Molecule: ribosomal RNA, 408 nt
Filed under: uncultured bacterium
Lineage: Bacteria
Description: partial 16S ribosomal RNA
Rfam family: Bacterial small subunit ribosomal RNA
Source: RNAcentral
GACGAACGCUGGCGGCGUGCCUAAUACAUGCAAGUAGAACGCAGUUGCGAACGGGUGAGUAACGCGUAUGUACCCUGCCUCCUAGCGGGGGAUAACUAUUUGACACGCUAGCUCAUACCGCAUACUGUGAGAUGUACCUGCGUUGUAUUAGCUAGUUGGUGAGGUAAAGUCUCACCAAGGCGACGAUACAUAGCCGGCCUGAGAGGGUGAGCGGCCACACGGGGACUGAGACACGGCCCAGACUCCUACGGGAGGCAGCAGUAGGGAAUCUUCCGCAAUGGACGGAAGGCUGACCGAGCAACGCAGCGUGAGUGAAGAAGGUUUUCGGAUCGUAAAGCUCUGUUGGUAGGGAAGCGGUAACGAACCAGAAAGGGACGGAUAACUACGUGCCAGCAGCCGCGGUAAUAC